GCCUCCGAACAUGCCGUGC
Molecule: non-coding RNA, 19 nt
Filed under: Arabidopsis thaliana (thale cress)
Lineage: Eukaryota; Viridiplantae; Streptophyta; Magnoliopsida; Brassicales; Brassicaceae
Source: RNAcentral